AUUGAUAGACUGAAUACAAUUAUUAUAUUAUCGUGUAAUCUAAAAUACAAUUGCAAUAAUUGCUCAGCAAAAUCGGUUAACUGCCUGGAAAAAAGAUCUAUUGCGAGAAAUUACACUAAAAAAGGACAACUCAACAUACAAGGCAUUUCGCGUUCACGUAAGGUUCAGGGAAGGGCCGCAUCCGAAAGUAAGGCUGUAUUCGGUUCCGGUUCUGGGUCUAUUUGGGUCUGCAGUUCCUGUUCUGGCGGUUCCGGUUCUGGCGGUUCUGGCCGUUCCGGUUCUGGUGGUUUCGGAGCCGGAACCGUUACCAUACGGUUCCGGGUACCAUCCGGUUCCGGUUCCGGAGGUUCUGGCGGUUCCGACAGUUCCCCGCGGUUCUAAAUUUUUUUUUUUAAAUCAAUAUCUUGUAUAGUAGUCAUUAGUAUAUUGUAG
Molecule: long non-coding RNA, 432 nt
Filed under: Nicotiana benthamiana
Lineage: Eukaryota; Viridiplantae; Streptophyta; Magnoliopsida; Solanales; Solanaceae
Description: long non-coding RNA (NBEN_LNC026047)
Source: RNAcentral